This 601-nucleotide ribosomal RNA is filed under the name Pseudomonas sp. RNAcentral's name for it is "bacterial SSU rRNA". It matches the Rfam family "Bacterial small subunit ribosomal RNA", at positions 112 to 709 of the family's 1533-position model. Lineage: Bacteria; Pseudomonadati; Pseudomonadota; Gammaproteobacteria; Pseudomonadales; Pseudomonadaceae. The record is from RNAcentral.
AAUGCCUAGGAAUCUGCCUGGUAGUGGGGGAUAACGUUCGGAAACGGACGCUAAUACCGCAUACGUCCUACGGGAGAAAGCAGGGGACCUUCGGGCCUUGCGCUAUCAGAUGAGCCUAGGUCGGAUUAGCUAGUUGGUGAGGUAAUGGCUCACCAAGGCGACGAUCCGUAACUGGUCUGAGAGGAUGAUCAGUCACACUGGAACUGAGACACGGUCCAGACUCCUACGGGAGGCAGCAGUGGGGAAUAUUGGACAAUGGGCGAAAGCCUGAUCCAGCCAUGCCGCGUGUGUGAAGAAGGUCUUCGGAUUGUAAAGCACUUUAAGUUGGGAGGAAGGGCAGUUACCUAAUACGUGAUUGUUUUGACGUUACCGACAGAAUAAGCACCGGCUAACUCUGUGCCAGCAGCCGCGGUAAUACAGAGGGUGCAAGCGUUAAUCGGAAUUACUGGGCGUAAAGCGCGCGUAGGUGGUUAGUUAAGUUGGAUGUGAAAUCCCCGGGCUCAACCUGGGAACUGCAUUCAAAACUGACUGACUAGAGUAUGGUAGAGGGUGGUGGAAUUUCCUGUGUAGCGGUGAAAUGCGUAGAUAUAGGAAGGAACAC